This 1670-nucleotide long non-coding RNA is filed under the name Populus trichocarpa (black cottonwood). RNAcentral's name for it is "long non-coding RNA (PTRI_LNC002300)". Lineage: Eukaryota; Viridiplantae; Streptophyta; Magnoliopsida; Malpighiales; Salicaceae. The record is from RNAcentral.
GAACAUGAAUCCCAUCCUUCCUUCGGCUAUUAUGAAUGGUAGCGGGUUAAUUAGCACAACAUUAUCUACUAACGAUAAUUAUGUCUAUGUCGAGCUCACUGUCUGUCAUUGUUGUCUCUUGUUACACCAUGGUUGCUACAGGAUAAGUUGCGGGACCUUUUUGGUUUGUAAGCCAGGCUGAUUACCAGACAUUUUUGCAAAACUAACAAUGUUCUAACUUCUCUUACACUCCAUGAUUAGGCAAACAGAGCUUUCUAUACGCCUCCCUUCCUCUCCAGAACAGCUAGAAGCCUCGUUUGUAGGAACUCUUCUUGUUUUUUUUCCCCUCCUUCAUGGCAGGGGAAUGGCCAGUAAGAAUAUAGUCUCAUAUAUAAAGCGUUGAAUCGUCAUAUUAAAGCCUGAGAUAAUAUGCAUGAAUCCCAGAGAAAAUAGAAUUUUUAACACUGACAUCUCGAUCCGUUCUAAAAUUCUUAAUGAUUGUGCCGAAAAGUAAGUUAAUUUAUAUCUUUAACACCUGAAAUGGUUUGGUGCCAAUAUGUUAAAAGAGAUCGCAUCUCUAUUUUUUAGACAUCUGGUAAGUUCAUAAUUUCUUCUUCCAAAGUAUAAUCUAUCUCCUUUCUGCUAUUCUAUUUUAUUUUGAUGAAAUUGAUAUAAAGACAAAUUAAAAUUCAUCCUAAGAACAAAGCAAACUCUCAUUCAAGGAUUGUGUACGGGGGCGGGUAAAAAGAUAAGGUGGAUAUAAGUCUUACCCAUGAACAAGAUAAAGUGAGUUGCCUUUUCUUUGAAUUUUUAAUUUGGUUUUGUAUAUUCUUGUUAUUUGUUAAAGAAUUUUAGCAUUUACAAGAACUGGGUCUUGAUAAUUUGAGAUGGCCUUUAGGUAACGGUAAAUUAUAUUCAUUGGAUUCCCCGAAAGGAAGGCUGGGUAAAGUUGAAUACAGAUGGUGCUGGUAGGCGGCAGAAUACAGGCUUGAGACGGGGUAGAACCGGUUGCGAGGCGGGGCUUCUGGAGGGAGGUGGAUUCUCAAUCAGUAAUGCAUGUCAUCACAGAUAGCAGAGACAGCAAAGGUCCUUGUGACAGGUUAUUAUUUCGUUGAGUUGCUGUCCCCUUCUGUUACUCUCUGUGUCUGACUUCUCUUUCCUUGUUAGUUAAGACUUCCAAAUUUGAACAAAUUUACAAGCAAAAACAAACUGAGGUGCAAUAACCUGUAAACAUUGAGAUAGUACCUGCACUAGGAGAACCCUUUUUUUUUUUUUUUUCCUAAAACAACAAGGUGGGCAAUUUCCCUGAAAGGCCUUCGCCACUGUUCCUCUACCAAAUGUUAUAUUGGUUUUCCCUGCUCAGAAACUUAUCAUGGAUGUGCAUUAGCAGUUCUACGUUGACCAAAAAAUUGCACUCGCUAUUAUAACAACAAAAGGAAUUACAACGACAAUGUCAACAUUCUUCUUCUUCUUCUUUUUCCAAUUAUUAUCUGUGACCAGAAAUCCAGUCGACACCAUUUUCUGAGGUUGAAAACGGAAAUGAUGAAAAAAACAACGAUGUAUUGUAAUUGGGUGACCAAAAGAAGCUCUACCUGGAUGGUGUCCAGGCAUAGAUGAGCAACCCCAAAACAAGGACGAUGGCUCCUGCUACAAAGCCAGUUGGAAGGGAGGAUGCGACUCCAAGAUAUGGC